RNAcentral lists this long non-coding RNA (532 nucleotides) under Vigna radiata. RNAcentral describes it as "long non-coding RNA (VRAD_LNC006766)". The record is from RNAcentral. Lineage: Eukaryota; Viridiplantae; Streptophyta; Magnoliopsida; Fabales; Fabaceae.
GGGGACGUACAGUAAUGUCAUGAACUGGUGUUGAAUUCCUUGAUUAUGUUAAUAUCGCCUAGGGAUAGGGGUAGGACGAUCAAUUGUAUUUUGCUUCCGUUUCUCAUGCAUUAUUAAUUGCAAGGGAAGGCUAGGGAUAGCAAGCCGGUAAUUCGUAAUAGGCUCUUUUCACCAAGGGAUUGGGUUAAGGGUAGACUAAGAAAGUUUGCAUGACAAUAUGAUAAAUAAGCUAAUUAAAUAAGAAGAGUAGAUAUAUGAGGGUGGAUAAGAUGAAAUUGUAAACCCUAACAACUCCAUUCAUCCAUAGUUUCUUAAAGCCAAUUGAAUCAUUGCAUUUCCAUGUUUACUUUUGUUCUUUGCAUACAAACACCAAUCUAAUUCUUUUCUCAAGUCUUACACGAUUAGUUUACAUGAAAAGUAAGGCCUAAGAGUCCUUUGGGAAAACGAUACUUGGACUUAUCCAUUUAUAUUACUUGAUAACGAUCUGGUACACUUGUCAGGGACUUAACACUCUCUCUAUCUUUUCCUCCUC